GGUGCUUCUUUCCCGCCGGCAGGGCUGGGGGCGGGCUUUUCGGCCCGCUCCGCGCGCUGAUUGGUUGAACCUCCGCGGGCGGGAAGAGGGGCGGUGGGGGCGCGUUCCCGGCGUGCACCGCGCGGCUGUGAGGGGAACUGGGGCCCAGCAGGUGCCACCAAUGGCUGAGGGUCCCCCGGAGCCACCGGGUGCUGAUCUGUGGGGCCUCGUCCCCCCCUCACACUUCACACUCCGUCCCCCUGCCCCCAGCACCAGGUAAGGGUCUCCUGUUGUUGCCCACCACCCCCCAGUUGCCUCCCAGUUCUCCCCAGUGCUCCCAGUAAGCC
RNAcentral lists this long non-coding RNA (326 nucleotides) under Chrysolophus pictus (golden pheasant). RNAcentral's name for it is "lncRNA (ENSCPIG00010010791.1)". The record is from RNAcentral. Lineage: Eukaryota; Metazoa; Chordata; Aves; Galliformes; Phasianidae.